This 377-nucleotide ribosomal RNA is filed under the name Paraphrynus mexicanus. RNAcentral describes it as "partial small subunit ribosomal RNA". The record is from RNAcentral. Lineage: Eukaryota; Metazoa; Arthropoda; Arachnida; Amblypygi; Phrynidae.
UUGAGAAUGAAAGUUGGAGGGGUAGUAGGAGGAGUUCUUAAAACCUAAAAUUUUUGGCGGUUUUUUAGUCUAGUUAGAGGAAUCUGUUCUGUAAUAGAUGUUCCGCUUUAAGUUUAACUCUGGGGAUUUGUUUAUAUACCGCCGUCGUAAAGUGAAUUUUUUAGACUUUAUUUGGGGGCUGAAAAGAAAGAGAUUUGGAAAAGCUUUGAAGGAAAUAUGUCAGGUCAAGGUGUAGCUGGUACUGGAGGGUGAGAUGGAUUACAAUCUUGGAUUGGGGGAUGGAUGGAGACUGGUGGGAAGUUAUUGCUGGUUGAAAAUGGAUUUAUGAGUAAAAUUUUUAUUAAAAUUGGAGUGUGAAAUGGAGCUCUAAAAAAUGU